Molecule: ribosomal RNA, 500 nt
Filed under: uncultured bacterium
Lineage: Bacteria
Description: partial 16S ribosomal RNA
Rfam family: Bacterial small subunit ribosomal RNA
Source: RNAcentral
AUUGAACGCUGGCGGCAUGCCUUACACAUGCAAGUCGAACGGCAGCACGGGAGCAAUCCUGGUGGCGAGUGGCGAACGGGUGAGUAAAGUAUCGGAACGUGCCCAGUCGUGGGGGAUAACGUAGCGAAAGUUACGCUAAUACCGCAUACGAUCUAUGGAUGAAAGCGGGGGAUCGCAAGACCUCGCGCGAUUGGAGCGGCCGAUAUCAGAUUAGGUAGUUGGUGGGGUAAAGGCUCACCAAGCCGACGAUGUGUAGCUGGUCUGAGAGGACGACCAGCCACACUGGGACUGGGACACGGGCCAGACUCCUACGGGCGGCAGCAGUGGGGAAUUUUGGACAAUGGGCGAAAGCCUGAUCCAGCCAUGCCGCGUGCAGGAUGAAGGCCUUCGGGUUGUAAACUGCUUUUGUACGGAACGAAAAGGUUUGGCCUAAUAAGCUGAGCUCAUGACGGUACCGUAAGAAUAAGCACCGGCUAACUACGUGCCAGCCGCCGCAGUAA